RNA transcript from Manihot esculenta (cassava), 2219 nucleotides. It is a transcript of the gene named F-box protein PP2-A15, with no coding region annotated. NCBI's taxonomy places the organism in Eukaryota, Viridiplantae, Streptophyta, Magnoliopsida, Malpighiales, Euphorbiaceae. The record is from RefSeq and is a predicted model, not a curated record. The transcript has 4 exons.
AGGGAAGUUUUGGAGCCCACCAGCCAGCCUGAUCAGUCAUCAGUCAUCACCCUCCCCGUCUCGUUAAAACCUCCAAUUUUCCCCCGAUUUUCCUUCACUUUCCUGGCAAAAUAUAAAACGAAACACGCGAUAACGUACUUUUCUUCUUCUACUUCUCCAUUUUCUCGUCGACCAAACACUCCUCACUCACAACACGUACGCAAAUUCCUAGAUUAGUAAUGCUACUCUACUAUUAUAUUCAGUGAAGGGCAGGAAAGGAAGGGGAAGGGGACGGGAGGGCGGACCAUGGGUGCGUCUCUAUCAAACCUGACGGAGGGAGCCAGCGGUCCAGGACUCGGAGAUAUACCGGAAAGCUGCGUGGCGUGCGUGUUUACCUACCUGACGCCACCGGAAAUUUGCAAUCUAGCUCGAUUGAACCGAGCGUUUAGAGGCGCCGCAUCAUCUGAUUCCGUUUGGGAGAAGAAGUUGCCGCCUAAUUAUAAAGAUCUGCUCGAUUUGCUCCCUCCUGAACGGUACCAGAAUUUGUCCAAGAAGGAUAUCUUUGCCCAACUCUCGCGUCCCGUUCCAUUUGAUGAUGGCAAUAAGGAGGUGUGGUUAGAUAGAGUGACGGGAAGGGUAUGCAUGUCAAUAUCGGCCAAAGGUAUGACUAUAACAGGGAUUGAGGACCGGAGAUAUUGGAAUUGGGUUCCCACUGAAGAAUCCAGAUUCCAUGUUGUGGCCUAUUUGCAGCAAAUAUGGUGGUUUGAGGUAGAUGGGGUUGUAAAGUUUCCAUUUCCAGCUGAUAUCUAUACUCUGUCCUUCAGGCUUCACCUGGGAAGAUUUGCCAAAAGGUUGGGACGACGUGUAUGCAACUUUGAGCACACUCAUGGUUGGGAUAUAAAGCCAGUACGGUUUGAGUUGUCUACUUCUGAUGGUCAGCAAGCAUCAUCUGAAAGUUGUUUAGAUGAGACUGAACAAGAAGAAGCAUAUGGCAACCAUAAACGUGGAUUGUGGAUAGAGUACAAGGUAGGUGAAUUUGUUGUCACUGACUCAGUACCUGCCACUGAGGUCCGAUUUUCGAUGAAACAAAUUGAUUGCACACAUUCCAAAGGUGGGCUUUGUGUAGAUUCAGUUUUUAUUAUCCCCAGUGAUCUCAAGGAAGGUAAAAGAAGAGGGGUUUUGAAGUAGCCAGAACAAAAAGACCAUGUUUUUAGUGUUGUCAACGGUCCCAGAAGUUUCUAGUUGGGUUUUAUCAUACAGCUUACACUUCUGAAGUAUUGUGUUACUAUCAGAAAAAGGAAAACUAAAAACUACUCUCUCCCACUUCCUUUAAAAUCCAGCAACCGGUUCACGACCGCAAGAUGCUUCCAACAAUUAAAGAACGGUUAUCUUAUUCUUUGCUUUCAUCUGGAUUAAUUUUUCUAGAGAUUAUCUGUGUGUUUAUUAUCUAUGAUUUGCUUUGAUCAUUGUAGUCGUAUAGCAUCUAGAGAGGGCUUUAUUGUGUAGCCAAAUCUACCCACAAAUGCCAUACAUUUCCUUCGGCACUUGAUUUUGCAGACUUACCUUUUACCUUCUCUGUUUGUUUUGAAGUUCAACCUGAUAUAUGCUUGCCUGAUUACAUUCAUUUCCAUUAUUGUUUUGGUUGCUAUUUGGUUUAUCUUAUGAGAUCAGUGUCUAUAGCAUGCUUUGAGUUCCAGGACAAAUGACUGGUUUCAGUUGUUGAUGGAUUAUGCAAUGGCUAAGCCUUAGACCGUGGUCCACCGUCUGCGGCCCCACCCAUGUAGGAUUAAACUAUGCAGAAACCUUUUGUGAAGAUGGGUUCGUUUAAGACUGAAAGUGGCGUGUGAAAGUUUCCUUAUUAACUCAAUUGUUUCUAUCAGCAGGUCCUAACCUCAUUUUGGACCACCAUUGAAAGUUGAAGCUCAUUUUAAUAGGAUGCUUCCUUCUCUAUGUUUGUUGUGAUGGGUUUGGUUUCUCUAGCAGGUUUUACAUUUAAAGUUUCCCCAGCUUAGCAAGGACCACUCAUUCUUUGACAUGUUCUGUGACUUAGACCUUGUGUUUUAGGUCUGCCUUCCAUGUCCUUGCUCUCUUCCAUUGCCCUUGCUUAGGCUGUGGACCUUUUUUUUUUUUUUUUGAAAAAUUAUUAUUUAUUUGCUGUGGUAGGAUGAAACCAAUUAAUUAAUUCAUGUGUUUAAAAAAUACAUGUGAUUGAAAACUAAACUAAAAUGUUCAUCCCUUAA